UGCUGUCAUACCACGCUGAAUAUACCGGUUCUCGUUAGAUCACCGAAGUCAAGCAUCACUGGGCGCGGUCAGUACUUGGGUGGGGAACCACCUGGGAACACCGCGUGCCGUU
Molecule: ribosomal RNA, 112 nt
Filed under: Caerostris darwini
Lineage: Eukaryota; Metazoa; Arthropoda; Arachnida; Araneae; Araneidae
Source: RNAcentral